RNAcentral lists this ribosomal RNA (419 nucleotides) under uncultured bacterium. RNAcentral's name for it is "bacterial SSU rRNA". It matches the Rfam family "Bacterial small subunit ribosomal RNA", at positions 36 to 501 of the family's 1533-position model. The record is from RNAcentral.
CUGGCGGCGUGCUUAACACAUGCAAGUCGAACGAACCUUCGGGUUAGUGGCGGACGGGUGAGUAACGCGUGAGAAUCUGCCCUCAGGAGGGGGACAACAGCUGGAAACGGCUGCUAAUACCCCAUAUGCCGCGAGGUGAAAUGAAUUUCGCCUGAGGAUGAGCUCGCGUCUGAUUAGCUAGUUGGUGUAGGUAAUGGCUCACCAAGGCAUCGAUCAGUAUCUGGUCUGAGAGGAUGAUCAGCCACACUGGGAAUGAGACACGGCCCAGACUCCUACGGGAGGCAGCAGUGGGGAAUUUUCCGCAAUGGGCGAAAGCCUGACGGAGCAACGCCGCGUGAGGGAUGAAGGCCUCUGGGCUGUAAACCUCUUUUAUCAAGGAAGAAGAUCUGACGGUACUUGAUGAAUAAGCCACGGCUAAU